RNAcentral lists this ribosomal RNA (253 nucleotides) under uncultured bacterium. RNAcentral's name for it is "partial 16S ribosomal RNA". It matches the Rfam family "Bacterial small subunit ribosomal RNA", at positions 524 to 776 of the family's 1533-position model. The record is from RNAcentral.
UACAGAGGGUGCAAGCGUUAAUCGGAAUUACUGGGCGUAAAGCGUGCGUAGACGGUUACAUAAGUCGGGUGUGAAAGCCCCGGGCUCAACCUGGGAAUUGCAUUCGAGACUGCGUAGCUAGGGUGCGGAAGAGGGAAGCGGAAUUUCCGGUGUAGCGGUGAAAUGCGAAGAUAUCGGAAGGAACGCCGGUGGCGAAAGCGGCGUGCUGGAUCUCUUCUGACGCUGAGGCGCGAAAGCCAGGGGAGCAAACGGG